This 253-nucleotide unclassified non-coding RNA is filed under the name Hevea brasiliensis (rubber tree). The record is from RNAcentral. Lineage: Eukaryota; Viridiplantae; Streptophyta; Magnoliopsida; Malpighiales; Euphorbiaceae.
GAAAAUCAGUGCAGUGUCCAUUUGGUAAAAAACAGAAGCAUGUGUUGCACAAUCUAAAUCAAUCUAAAAGCGAACAUUUUAUAUACGAAACAUAAAAAAUUUUACUAGCUAGUAGAAGCAGAUACAAAAGGUUUCUACUUUCCAGAACCUCAGCCCAUAAAUUUACGUAGCAAGAUGAAACAAAUUAUUUCAAACACAAAAUCAAUAUCACAAAACAGACUAAACCGACAUGUCUAAACUAAUAGCAAUGAAA